GCGGCAACAGCUCAAAUUUGAAAUCUGGCUCUCUUUGGGGGUCCGAGUUGUAAUUUGCAGAGGAUGCUUUGGCAUUGGCGGCGGUCUAAGUUCCUUGGAACAGGACAUCGCAGAGGGUGAGAAUCCCGUACGUGGGCGCCUGCCUUUGCCGUGUAAAGCUCCUUCGACGAGUCGAGUUGUUUGGGAAUGCAGCUCUAAAUGGGAGGUAAAUUUCUUCUAAAGCUAAAUACCGGCCAGAGACCGAUAGCGCACAAGUAGAGUGAUCGAAAGAUGAAAAGUACUUUGGAAAGAGAGUCAAAAAGCACGUGAAAUUGUUGAAAGGGAAGCGCUUGCAGCCAGACUUGCCCGCAGUUGCUCACCUAGGCUUUGGCCUGGGGCACUCUUCUGCGGGCAGGCCAGCAUCAGUUUGGGCGGUUGGAUAAAGGCCUCUGUCACGUAUCUUCCUUCGGGAUGACCUUAUAGGGGAGGCGUAAUGCAACCAGCCCGGACUGAGGUCCGCGCAUCUGCUAGGAUGCUGGCGUAAUGGCUGUAAGCGGCCCGUCUUGAAACACGGACCAAGGAGUCUAACAUCUAUGCGAGUGUUUGGGUGUCAAGCCCGGGCGCGCAAUGAAAGUGAACGGAGGUGGGAACCCUUUGGGUGCACCAUCGACCGAUCCUGAUGUCUUCGGAUGGAUUUGAGUAAGAGCAUAGCUGUUGGGACCCGAAAGAUGGUGAACUAUGCUUGAAUAGGGUGAAGCCAGAGGAAACUCUGGUGGAGGCUCGCAGCGGUUCUGACGUGCAAAUCGAUCGUCAAAUUUGGGCAUAGGGGCGAAAGACUAAUCGAA
This 824-nucleotide ribosomal RNA is filed under the name Pseudocamarosporium cotinae. RNAcentral's name for it is "eukaryotic LSU rRNA". It matches the Rfam family "Eukaryotic large subunit ribosomal RNA", at positions 98 to 939 of the family's 3401-position model. The record is from RNAcentral. Lineage: Eukaryota; Fungi; Ascomycota; Dothideomycetes; Pleosporales; Didymosphaeriaceae.